CUACGUAGGGUGCGAGCGUUGUCCGGAAUUACUGGGCGUAAAGAGCUCGUAGGUGGUUUGUCGCGUCGUCUGUGAAAUUCCGGGGCUUAACUCCGGGCGUGCAGGCGAUACGGGCAUAACUUGAGUACUGUAGGGGAGACUGGAAUUCCUGGUGUAGCGGUGAAAUGCGCAGAUAUCAGGAGGAACACCGGUGGCGAAGGCGGUUCUCUGGGCAGUAACUGACGCUGAGGGGCGAAAGCAUGGGUAGCGAACAGGAUUAGAUACCCUGGUAGUCCAUGCCGUAAACGGUGGGCGCUAGGUGUAGGGGUCUUCCACGACUUCUGUGCCGUAGCUAACGCAUUAAGCGCCCCGCCUGGGGAGUACGGCCGCAAGGCUAAAACUCAAAUGAAUUGACGGGG
This 398-nucleotide ribosomal RNA is filed under the name uncultured bacterium. Its description in RNAcentral is "partial 16S ribosomal RNA". It matches the Rfam family "Bacterial small subunit ribosomal RNA", at positions 523 to 918 of the family's 1533-position model. The record is from RNAcentral.